GGGUUGUGAGGUUAAGCGACUAAGCGUACACGGUGGAUGCCCUGGCAGUCAGAGGCGAUGAAGGACGUGCUAAUCUGCGAAAAGCGUCGGUAAGGUGAUAUGAACCGUUACAGCCGGCGAUGUCCGAAUGGGGAAACCCAGUGCAAUUCGUUGCACUAUCGUUAACUGAAUACAUAGGUUAACGAGGCGAACCGGGGGAACUGAAACAUCUAAGUACCCCGAGGAAAAGAAAUCAACCGAGAUUCCCCCAGUAGCGGCGAGCGAACGGGGAGCAGCCCGGAGUCUGAAUCAGCUUGUGUGUUAGUGGAAGCGUCUGGAAAGUCGCAGGGUACAGGGUGAUACUCCCGUACACUAAAACACACAGGCUGUGAACUCGAAGAGUAGGGCGGGACACGUGGUAUCCUGUCUGAAUAUGGGGGGACCAUCCUCCAAGGCUAAAUACUCCUGACUGACCGAUAGUGAACCAGUACCGUGAGGGAAAGGCGAAAAGAACCCCGGCGAGGGGAGUGAAAAAGAACCUGAAACCGUGUACGUACAAGCAGUAGGAGCCCCACCACCAAAGCGUUUCGCUUUGCGUGGUGCGCAAAAUGCGUAACGACAGCAUGAUGGACGGUUAACGGAGCGUCAGCGACGUUCAACCUCAAAAAUCAGGCAGUGGAGCGUUUUGGGGUGGGGUGACUGCGUACCUUUUGUAUAAUGGGUCAGCGACUUAUAUUCUGUAGCAAGGUUAACCGAAUAGGGGAGCCGCAGGGAAACCGAGUCUUAACUGGGCGUUAAGUUGCAGGGUAUAGACCCGAAACCCGGUGAUCUAGCCAUGGGCAGGUUGAAGGUUGGGUAACACUAACUGGAGGACCGAACCGACUAAUGUUGAAAAAUUAGCGGAUGACUUGUGGCUGGGGGUGAAAGGCCAAUCAAACCGGGAGAUAGCUGGUUCUCCCCGAAAGCUAUUUAGGUAGCGCCUCGUGAACUCAUCUUCGGGGGUAGAGCACUGUUUCGGCUAGGGGGUCAUCCCGACUUACCAACCCGAUGCAAACUACGAAUACCGAAGAAUGUUAUCACGGGAGACACACGGCGGGUGCUAACGUCCGUCGUGAAGAGGGAAACAACCCAGACCGCCAGCUAAGGUCCCAAAGUCAUGGUUAAGUGGGAAACGAUGUGGGAAGGCCCAGACAGCCAGGAUGUUGGCUUAGAAGCAGCCAUCAUUUAAAGAAAGCGUAAUAGCUCACUGGUCGAGUCGGCCUGCGCGGAAGAUGUAACGGGGCUAAACCAUGCACCGAAGCUGCGGCAGCGACACUAUGUGUUGUUGGGUAGGGGAGCGUUCUGUAAGCCGUUGAAGGUGGCCUGUGAGGGUUGCUGGAGGUAUCAGAAGUGCGAAUGCUGACAUAAGUAACGAUAAUGCGGGUGAAAAACCCGCACGCCGGAAGACCAAGGGUUCCUGUCCAACGUUAAUCGGGGCAGGGUGAGUCGACCCCUAAGGCGAGGCCGAAAGGCGUAGUCGAUGGGAAACAGGUUAAUAUUCCUGUACUUGGUGUUACUGCGAAGGGGGGACGGAGAAGGCUAUGUUGGCCGGGCGACGGUUGUCCCGGUUUAAGCAUGUAGGCGGAUGUUCCAGGUAAAUCCGGAACGUCACUAACGCUGAGGUGUGAUGACGAGGCACUACGGUGCUGAAGUGACAAAUGCCCUGCUUCCAGGAAAAGCCUCUAAGCAUCAGGUAACAUCAAAUCGUACCCCAAACCGACACAGGUGGUCAGGUAGAGAAUACCAAGGCGCUUGAGAGAACUCGGGUGAAGGAACUAGGCAAAAUGGUGCCGUAACUUCGGGAGAAGGCACGCUGAUGGUAAGUGAAGUGACUUGCUCAUGGAGCUGAAAUCAGUCGAAGAUACCAGCUGGCUGCAACUGUUUAUUAAAAACACAGCACUGUGCAAACACGAAAGUGGACGUAUACGGUGUGACGCCUGCCCGGUGCCGGAAGGUUAAUUGAUGGGGUUAUCCUCACGGAGAAGCUCUUGAUCGAAGCCCCGGUAAACGGCGGCCGUAACUAUAACGGUCCUAAGGUAGCGAAAUUCCUUGUCGGGUAAGUUCCGACCUGCACGAAUGGCGUAAUGAUGGCCAGGCUGUCUCCACCCGAGACUCAGUGAAAUUGAACUCGCUGUGAAGAUGCAGUGUACCCGCGGCAAGACGGAAAGACCCCGUGAACCUUUACUAUAGCUUGACACUGAACACUGGUCCUUGAUGUGUAGGAUAGGUGGGAGGCUUUGAAGUGUGGACGCCAGUCUGCAUGGAGCCGUCCUUGAAAUACCACCCUUUAAUGGCUGGUGUUCUAACGUUGGCCCCUAAUCGGGGUUGCGGACAGUGUCUGGUGGGUAGUUUGACUGGGGCGGUCUCCUCCUAAAGAGUAACGGAGGAGCACGAAGGUCAGCUAAUCCUGGUCGGACAUCAGGAGGUUAGUGCAAUGGCAUAAGCUGGCUUGACUGCGAGCGUGACGGCGCGAGCAGGUGCGAAAGCAGGUCAUAGUGAUCCGGUGGUUCUGAAUGGAAGGGCCAUCGCUCAACGGAUAAAAGGUACUCCGGGGAUAACAGGCUGAUACCGCCCAAGAGUUCAUAUCGACGGCGGUGUUUGGCACCUCGAUGUCGGCUCAUCACAUCCUGGGGCUGAAGUAGGUCCCAAGGGUAUGGCUGUUCGCCAUUUAAAGUGGUACGCGAGCUGGGUUUAGAACGUCGUGAGACAGUUCGGUCCCUAUCUGCCGUGGGCGCUGGAGAAUUGAGGGGGCUGCUCCUAGUACGAGAGGACCGGAGUGGACGCAUCACUGGUGUUCGGGUUGUCAUGCCAAUGGCAUUGCCCGGUAGCUAAAUGCGGAAGAGAUAAGUGCUGAAAGCAUCUAAGCACGAAACUUGCCCCGAGAUGAGUUCUCCCUGACUCCUUGAGAGUCCUGAAGGAACGUUGAAGACGACGACGUUGAUAGGCCGGGUGUGUAAGCGCAGCGAUGCGUUGAGCUAACCGGUACUAAUGAACCGUGAGGCUUAACCUUACAACGCCGAAG
RNAcentral lists this ribosomal RNA (3040 nucleotides) under Klebsiella oxytoca. RNAcentral's name for it is "bacterial LSU rRNA". It matches the Rfam family "Bacterial large subunit ribosomal RNA". Lineage: Bacteria; Pseudomonadati; Pseudomonadota; Gammaproteobacteria; Enterobacterales; Enterobacteriaceae. The record is from RNAcentral.